Molecule: ribosomal RNA, 510 nt
Filed under: uncultured bacterium
Lineage: Bacteria
Description: partial 16S ribosomal RNA
Rfam family: Bacterial small subunit ribosomal RNA
Source: RNAcentral
GACGAACGCUGGCGGCGUGCUUAACACAUGCAAGUCGAACGAAGAGCGAUGGAAGCUUGCUUCUAUCAAUCUUAGUGGCGAACGGGUGAGUAACGCGUAAUCAACCUGCCCUUCAGAGGGGGACAACAGUUGGAAACGACUGCUAAUACCGCAUACGAUCUAAUCUCGGCAUCGAGGAUAGAUGAAAGGUGGCCUCUACAUGUAAGCUCUCACUGAAGGAGGGGCUUGCGUCUGAUUAGCUAGUUGGAGGGGUAACGGCCCACCAAGGCGAUGAUCAGUAGCCGGUCUGAGAGGAUGAACGGCCACAUUGGGACUGAGACACGGCCCAGACUCCUACGGGAGGCAGCAGUGGGGAAUCUUCCGCAAUGGACGAAAGUCUGACGGAGCAACGCCGCGUGAGCGAUGACGGCCUUCGGGUUGUAAAGCUCUGUUAAUCGGGACGAAAGGCCUUCUUGCGAAUAGUGAGAAGGAUUGACGGUACCGGAAUAGAAAGCCACGGCUAACUACGUG